UCGCGGCUUAUCACCGGCAGUCCCCUUAGAGUGCCCAACUGAAUGAUGGCAACUAAGGGCGAGGGUUGCGCUCGUUGCGGGACUUAACCCAACACCUCACGGCACGAGCUGACGACAGCCAUGCAGCACCUGUCUUGGCGUUCCCUUGCGGGCACUUUCCUGUUUCCAGGAAAUUCGCCAGAUGUCAAACCCAGGUAAGGUUCUUCGCGUAGCAUCGAAUUGAACCACAUGCUCCACCGCUUGUGCGGGCCCCCGUCAAUUCCUUUGAGUUAUAACCUUGCGGCCGUACUCCCCAGGCGGGAUGCUUAAUGCGUUAGCUGCGCCACCGACAAGCAAGCUUGCCGACGGCUAGCAUCCAUAGUUUACGGCGUGGACUAC
Molecule: unclassified non-coding RNA, 378 nt
Filed under: uncultured Alphaproteobacteria bacterium
Lineage: Bacteria; Pseudomonadati; Pseudomonadota; Alphaproteobacteria
Description: contains 16S-23S intergenic spacer region
Source: RNAcentral